GCCUUCUUCCUGCCUUCCUUAGCUAGAGUAUCCGCAACUCCGUUAUCCCUCCUAUCUUCAUGGUGUAUCAACGUGAUCCCCAACUCCUGAAGAAGAUCCCUGCACAUUAUGAGUAAGUUGUUAUCGGAUACCACUGCAUCAUUAACUGCACAUUAUGAGUAAGUUGUUAACGGAUACCACUGCAUCAUUAAGAGCUGAGGCCAAUGUAAUGGAAUAUGUGACUACAAUAAGCUUAGUACAAUGCAUUUUCUUUGCUAUUUUAAGCCCCAAGUACAAGGCUAAUGUUUCCGCAUGUAGAGGAGAUUGAGCAGCAAAUUUAGCAUUAAAGCCCCAUACGCAGUCCCCAUGCAUAUCUUUAAGUAAACGGUCAGCCCCUCCAACAUUCGAAUUCGAGUCAAAUGAACCAUCAACGUUGAGUUUCAUCCCUUCAUCCGGGGGAAUCUAGCAAUGGUUUGAGCUUAAGUUAUUCCUGAUGUUUCUAUGUUUCCCUCUCUAAAAU
Molecule: long non-coding RNA, 499 nt
Filed under: Capsicum annuum
Lineage: Eukaryota; Viridiplantae; Streptophyta; Magnoliopsida; Solanales; Solanaceae
Description: long non-coding RNA (CANN_LNC021897)
Source: RNAcentral